CCCUAUGGGGUGCAGCAGGAACGGUAGUUUCAGCCACUGAUUCUGCGGCUGAUGCCUCCACUGAGGCAGCCGAAAAUGUAACCGAUGAACAAUCAACUGAUGAGCUGACCGCAGAGAAUGAAUCGCAGAAUGAGACCGAGACAGAAUCCGAAGAGGCUGAGGAAGAAGAGAUAGAAGAGGGAGAUAAUAGAAUCUGGAGAGAAGGCAAGAGUCCAUAUAAAUACACCUGGACGCCAAAGACUUUUUCUGGAUUCUUCUACGAUCUGGAGAAUGAAGUGGGCACAGAAAGGCUCACAGUAGACCUGGAGCCCAAUGAAAGGUCCCUUGAAACCGGCAAGAUCUCUUAUUCCACUAAGCCUGAAGCUACAGACUUCGAGUUCGAUGACUGGGGAGAGC
RNAcentral lists this ribosomal RNA (396 nucleotides) under uncultured prokaryote. RNAcentral's name for it is "partial 16S ribosomal RNA". The record is from RNAcentral.